UACGUAGGUGGCAAGCGUUAUCCGGAUUUAUUGGGCGUAAAGAGAACGCAGGCGGUCUUUUAAGUCUGAUGUAAAAGGCAGUGGCUCAACCAUUGUAUGCAUUGGAAACUGGUAGACUUGAGUGCAGGAGAGGAGGGUGGAAUUCCAUGUGUAGCGGUGAAAUGCGUAGAUAUAUGGAGGAACACCGGUGGCGAAAGCGGCUCUCUGGCCUGUAACUGACACUGAGGCUCGAAAGCGUGGGGAGCAAACAGG
RNAcentral lists this ribosomal RNA (252 nucleotides) under uncultured bacterium. RNAcentral's name for it is "partial 16S ribosomal RNA". It matches the Rfam family "Bacterial small subunit ribosomal RNA", at positions 524 to 776 of the family's 1533-position model. The record is from RNAcentral.